GCAAGCCUGAUGCAGCCAUGCCGCGUGUGUGAAGAAGGCCUUCGGGUUGUAAAGCACUUUCAGCGGGGAGGAAGGCGAUAAGGUUAAUAACCUUGUCGAUUGACGUUACCCGCAGAAGAAGCACCGGCUAACUCCGUGCCAGCAGCCGCGGUAAUACGGAGGGUGCAAGCGUUAAUCGGAAUUACUGGGCGUAAAGCGCACGCAGGCGGUCUGUCAAGUCGGAUGUGAAAUCCCCGGGCUUAACCUGGGAACUGCAUUCGAAACUGGCAGGCUAGAGUCUUGUAGAGGGGGGUAGAAUUCCAGGUGUAGCGGUGAAAU
Molecule: ribosomal RNA, 318 nt
Filed under: Klebsiella pneumoniae
Lineage: Bacteria; Pseudomonadati; Pseudomonadota; Gammaproteobacteria; Enterobacterales; Enterobacteriaceae
Description: bacterial SSU rRNA
Rfam family: Bacterial small subunit ribosomal RNA
Source: RNAcentral